GUCAAUCUUAUUGAUUCCAUCCAAAGAUUCUAUUCGUGGUACUCUUCCAAUAAAGUUUUUGAUUCUUCAACACUUCAAAGUUCGAGAACGGGUUUCUUCCAAGCGGGGAGAAUGGUAUGGAAGAAUUCUAACACAAGCUCGAAUUUUUUCCAAGAGGGGAAAUAUGAUGCUGAGCAAAUGCAAAAAAUAGCGUGUGCAAUAGGGUGUACAGAAAAGUACACGCCCUCAGAACAUGCCCCCAGGGCAUGUGUUCCUCUCUCCAGAUGCAGUGGCGGGCAGCAGUGAUUUUUGGGUCCAGAAAAACGUCUCCUGCAGUCCUAAUUCAUUUUGGACUUCCUAUUUUAGCAAGGGCCAGCUGCGGCAGUUAUUUUAAAAUUAAUUUAGGAAGCUUUCCAACUUUAUUUUGGAUUUUAUUUUAGUUUUCCAAUUCUAUUUAGGAUUAGAUAUUUGAAUUUCCUGUUUUAAUUGAGUUUAGCUUUUCCUAUUUAAUUUAGUAUUGCUAUUUUGUUUGGUGUAUAAACUUCCUAGUCAGGAUUUAUAUUUUCCUAGUUAGU
This 554-nucleotide unclassified non-coding RNA is filed under the name Hevea brasiliensis (rubber tree). The record is from RNAcentral. Lineage: Eukaryota; Viridiplantae; Streptophyta; Magnoliopsida; Malpighiales; Euphorbiaceae.